Molecule: long non-coding RNA, 1331 nt
Filed under: Homo sapiens (human)
Lineage: Eukaryota; Metazoa; Chordata; Mammalia; Primates; Hominidae
Description: HSALNT0110929
Source: RNAcentral
AUUUACUUCUAUGGGAUUAAAGCAAAACAAAAGCACUUUUUUUAAACUCUCUAUACAGAGUGUACUAUAAUUGGAUUCCUUGUUCCUCUUCCAAGCCAAGGCAUUGGAUCUGCAUUGUUUCUGCCAAGUUUUUUCUCCACGCUGCAAUGUCCUUGUUUGUGUUCUCUCCCAGUGUUCCAGGUUCUACUGUCAACCCAGGCUCAGGCUGUCCCACAUCCUCCCACAGAGGUCUUGCUUUGUUUUGAGAAAUGCUCAACAGAAGGAGGAAGUCCAGCAUAUCCACGGUGCAACUGAAAUGCCACCCUAGGAAGACUAAGGCCUCAUGGUGGGUGACAGCUGAGGUGACAGCUGAAGAUGAGGCUGGCUGAGGGAGGACAAUCCCACCAAAGUAUAGCGGACACCAGCAGUCUCUCUAGGCUCCCAACAGUCCUAAGGCUGAAGAGACUGUGAACAGGUCUGCACAAAGCCUACAAGCAAAGAAAGUCAUAAGCCUUAGGUUUCCCUGCAAUGACUUUCUGCAGUAGGUGGAGGAAGGGAAGAAAAAACCUAUCUCCAUGGAAAAACCACCUUAUAAGUCUUUCUAUAAAUUGCAGUAGAACAAAGGAAAAGUAUAUGCUCCUGCUGAUUAACCAUUUCUUUCAGAGGGAUGUGGAAGAGUAGGAAACAGUAUUGUAAUAAAAUCAAAACCUUAUUUAUUCUGCAAAGGUUACAAAUCCAUUUGACAUUAGAUAAUUCCUUAAUGAGGUGGUCAAAACAAAAACAAGUUGGUUAAAUUACUGUUCUAAUUUUCAAAAGAAUGCUUUCAGUGAAAAGAUUUCUUUAUGAACACAUAAUGAGGUUGGUGUUUUGUUACUUGGUUAAUACAACUGAAAGAGCACACCAGAAGAUUCUGUACACCCACAUCAAUGGUCGCUGCAAUGGCCCAGGAUGACCACAGUGUGUUCCAAUCAUCAUCUCCUCCCUACCCAACUCCACUCUCCUGACUCUGGGCUAUGGCCAAUACUGGCCUAGUUGACUUUCUUUGUCUCCUUUCCAAAAGCAACCGACUCUUCUCAGUGUGCCUCCCAGAGCAUCAUUCCAAGUAUCACUCCUGAUCCUCUCAUCAGUGUCCCAGUAACAGAGUCACAACCAAGAGAUCUCAUCAGGACUAUCUGCUCCAGGGGAUAGGCCAGGCUGAGCUUGGCAGACACACCAUAUAGAGGCCUGGAGCUUCAGGGGCUUCUAGAACCACUCUCGCUUCCUGAGGCCCCCCCAAGAGGGGAACACUUUUCAUCUCUGUACCCACCACCUUCAUUCACAUUCACAUGAAAUGUUUUGGAACCAUUUAACUU